UGAAGGUCUGCUACAACCAUCUUUCUUUAAUCCACCAUGGCACUGCACAGACCUGCUUAAAAAGCUGCUGGGUAAGCUGCCCCUCAUCCUGCAACAAGCUGCUCUAGUAUUGCCCUGGCACCCAAAGCUUUGGGAUAGGCAUUGCAGCUGCAGUGCUACUGCUGCUCAGGUUACUUGGGAAAAGCCCAUACCUAUAGCCAGCCUAUGGAUGGCCCACAGAGAUCAUCCUGUGCCACAGGAAUUAGUGACCCCCUGGAGAACGUCUGCACUUGCUCCAGGCUCCAUUGCCCUUUCUCUUGCACUGGGCAGCUGAUCAACACUAGGUUGCUAAGGGUGGAGAGAUUGUUCUCAGCCUGUCUUCAUGUGGAAAGGUGCUGCUUUCAUCUUGGACUUGGACGGAGGGGUAUGUGUGUCUAACAGCCUCUUUUUUGCCUCCCAACCUGUAUCUGCUGGUUUAAUAGGAGGUGCUGCCUCUCUAGACCUUCUCAGCACUCUAACUUUUAUUGCAUUUGAAUGUCUCAAAGAAUCAAAGCACACAAGGUGUAUGAGAGGCCUGGCUGAGGGAAGGCACCUGUGUGUGUCCUUCUUGUCUAGCAUGCUGUGUUGAGAGGUGCAGAAAUGCCUGUCGAUAUCUCCACUGCAGACAUUGCAAAAGCUUCGUCCCACCUGGAAGAUCAAUUUGAAAUGGAUCCUGUGGCAUGCCAGGUGCUGUCCAGAGAGCUUGACAGUGGAGGAAACAGUGAAAGAAUGGCGACUGUGGUACCAUUGAUCAAGCCAGUGUGUCUGUUCUUGGUAGAGCGGCUAAUAAGGCCACCGGUGCAGUGAGAACGUAAACCCCAGAGAAAGAGUCAGCAGGGAAAGAGAGACCAAUGCAGAGAGCAAGAUCUAAUAUGGACCUGAUAACCGACAAUGGGAUUUCAGCAGGAUACUUGAUUCCUCCCCCCCACCCCGAGGAUGCUUUCAGACCCAAGUCUGGUCACUUUGGGAAUGCGCAGAGUGGCUGGAUCUGGGACUGUACAAAUCCGAAAUAGAAGUUGGCAAUUACUCCAGAGAGAUCAUCGUCUGCCUCAAUACAGGAAACAAAUAGAUUGGCCAGCUGAGGCAAAGAAGGCAGUGGAUAACCCUGUUUCAAAGAAAUGCUCCACUUGGAAACUGCAGAAGAAGGCUCAUCAAUCUUUAUACAUCCAGAAUGGAAGCAGAUCGGCAGAGCAGAGCACCAGAGUCCUUCCCAUUCAGAAGUCCAUCGGCUACUAG
This is a long non-coding RNA of Apteryx owenii (little spotted kiwi), 1254 nucleotides long. The record is from Ensembl. Lineage: Eukaryota; Metazoa; Chordata; Aves; Apterygiformes; Apterygidae.